Long non-coding RNA from Ctenocephalides felis (cat flea), 521 nucleotides. RefSeq lists it as uncharacterized. NCBI's taxonomy places the organism in Eukaryota, Metazoa, Arthropoda, Insecta, Siphonaptera, Pulicidae. The record is from RefSeq and is a predicted model, not a curated record. The transcript is spliced from 3 exons.
GCAUCCUUGCACUUCCUCUAUUAAAGUUCAAAUUCACACGCCUCCCAUUCCCUGUUCCCCAAUCAGUACUAAGGAAAAUUUUACAGGUACACCAUCAAGGAAAUCCAGAAUAAGAUGUCCACUCCCUCCCUGCUCCUCUGUUUUUUCUAGGUACACAGGUUUAUACGAUCAUAUUGAGUUUUAUCACAAAACUACAAUUGAUUAUGAACAGUUUGUGUUUCAAAACAUUAAAGAUUUUGAAUUGUGGAAAACGGACAUAGAGCGGAAAGAGUUUUCGCAUUAUGUAAAAUGCAAUUCAGGAUAUAAAUCAAAAACUGAUGACAAGACAAUUUAUUUCGAUUGCCACAGGUCAUAUACAAAUGACCAAAAACCCACUGUACGCUUGUUUACUAAAACGAGCAACAAAACCGGAUAUGCUUGCCCAUCAAGGAUUGGUUGUACUAUUAAUCACAAUGGAACAGUUCAUGUUGAAUUUUGGAAGACACAUGUGGGACACAGUCAAGAUAUAAAAUUUAUUUCGU